CCUACGGGUGGCAGCAGUGGGGAAUAUUGGGCAAUGGGCGCAAGCCUGACCCAGCAACGCCGCGUGAAGGAAGAAGGCCCUCGGGUUGUAAACUUCUUUUGUCAGGGACGAAGCAAGUGACGGUACCUGACGAAUAAGCCACGGCUAACUACGUGCCAGCAGCCGCGGUAAUACGUAGGUGGCAAGCGUUAUCCGGAUUUACUGGGUGUAAAGGGCGUGUAGGCGGGGAAGCAAGUCAGAUGUGAAAUUCCAGGGCUCAACCCUGGAACUGCAUUUGAAACUGUUUUUCUUGAGUGAUGGAGAGGCAGGCGGAAUUCCGUGUGUAGCGGUGAAAUGCGUAGAUAUACGGAGGAACACCAGUGGCGAAGGCGGCCUGCUGGACAUUAACUGACGCUCAUGCACGAAAGCGUGGGUAUCGAACAGGAUUAGAUACCCCUGUAGUC
This 443-nucleotide ribosomal RNA is filed under the name uncultured bacterium. RNAcentral's name for it is "partial 16S ribosomal RNA". It matches the Rfam family "Bacterial small subunit ribosomal RNA", at positions 338 to 795 of the family's 1533-position model. The record is from RNAcentral.